AGAGUUUGAUCAUGGCUCAGGACGAACGCUGGCGGCGUGCUUAACACAUGCAAGUCGAACGGAAAGCGCUCUUUGGAGUGACUCGAGUGGCGAACGGGUGAGUAACACGUGGGUGAUCUGCCCUGCACUUUGGGAUAAGCCUGGGAAACUGGGUCUAAUACCGGAUAGGACCAUGGCCUGCAUGGGUUGUGGUGGAAAGCUUUUGCGGUGUGGGAUGGGCCCGCGGCCUAUCAGCUAGUUGGUAGGGUAAUGGCCUACCAAGGCGACGACGGGUAGCUGGUCUGAGAGGACGACCAGCCACACGGGAAUUGAGAGACGGUCCCGACUCCUACGGGAGGCAGCAGUGGGGAAUCUUGGGCAAUGGGGGCAACCCUGACCCAGCGACGCCGCGUGGGGGACGAAGGCCUUCGGGUUGUAAACCCCUGUUAGGUGGGACGAACCGCCUCUGGCAAAGACCCGGAGGCGCUGACGGUACCACCAGAGAAAGCCCCGGCUAACUACGUGCCAGCAGCCGCGGUAAUACGUAGGGCGCAAGCGUUGUCCGGAAUUAUUGGGCGUAAAGAGCUCGUAGGCGGCUUGUCACGUCGGGUGUGAAAGCCCGGGGCUUAACCCCGGGUCUGCAGUCGAUACGGGCAGGCUAGAGCUCGGUAGGGGAGAUCGGAAUUCCUGGUGUAGCGGUGAAAUGCGCAGAUAUCGGGAGGAACACCAGUAGCGAAGGCGGCUCCCUGGGCCAUUCCUGACGCUGAGACGCGAAAGCGUGGGGAGCAAACAGGAUUAGAUACCCCCGUAGUCC
RNAcentral lists this ribosomal RNA (793 nucleotides) under uncultured Streptomyces sp. RNAcentral's name for it is "bacterial SSU rRNA". It matches the Rfam family "Bacterial small subunit ribosomal RNA", at positions 8 to 796 of the family's 1533-position model. Lineage: Bacteria; Bacillati; Actinomycetota; Actinomycetes; Kitasatosporales; Streptomycetaceae. The record is from RNAcentral.